GGCCCUAAAUCUCGAUGUUUACCAAACACAAACAUCCGCCCGAGAACUACGAGCACAAACGCUUAAAACUCUAAGGACUUGGCGGUGCCCUAAACCCACCUAGAGGAGCCUGUUCUAUAAUCGAUAACCCACGAUCCACCCGACCACUUCUCGCCAAUAACAGCCUACAUACCGCCGUCGCCAGCCCACCUCCCUGAGAGCACAACAGUGAGCCCAACAGCCCACAGCCCGCUAACAAGACAGGUCAAGGUAUAGCCAAUGAAGUGGAAGAAAUGGGCUACAUUUUCUAAAAUAGAAAAUCCAACGAAAGAGGGUCUGAAAUACACCCCCAGAAGGCGGAUUUAGCAGUAAAGCAGGACAAUCAAGCCCACUUUAAGCUGGUCCUAGGGCA
RNAcentral lists this ribosomal RNA (391 nucleotides) under Bolborhynchus lineola (barred parakeet). Its description in RNAcentral is "partial 12S ribosomal RNA". It matches the Rfam family "Bacterial small subunit ribosomal RNA", at positions 798 to 1381 of the family's 1533-position model. Lineage: Eukaryota; Metazoa; Chordata; Aves; Psittaciformes; Psittacidae. The record is from RNAcentral.